RNAcentral lists this unclassified non-coding RNA (380 nucleotides) under soil metagenome. RNAcentral describes it as "partial contains 5.8S ribosomal RNA, internal transcribed spacer 2, and large subunit ribosomal RNA". The stretch from base 1 to 120 matches the Rfam family "5.8S ribosomal RNA", at positions 35 to 154 of the family's 154-position model. The record is from RNAcentral.
GAUGAAGAACGUAGCGAAAUGCGAUAAGUAAUGUGAAUUGCAGAAUUCAGUGAAUCAUCGAAUCUUUGAACGCACCUUGCACCCUUUGGCAUUCUGAAAGGUAUGCUCGUUUGAGUGUCAUUGUACUCUCACACUCCCGAUCUUUGCAUUGGGAGCAGUGGACUUGGGUUUGCUGCUUCACCGUCGCUUACCUCAAAUAGGUUAGUGCAACUCUUGGUUGGACAUAGUACGGCGUGAUAAGUGUUCUUCGCCGGUGCCUCGCAAAGAGGGUGGCCGAUCGGGAUGUUGUGCUCCAAACCGUCUUCGGACAAUCUCUGACGACUUGACCUCAAAUCGAGUAAGACUACCCGCUGAACUUAAGCAUAUCAAUAAGCGGAGGA